Molecule: ribosomal RNA, 610 nt
Filed under: uncultured bacterium
Lineage: Bacteria
Description: bacterial SSU rRNA
Rfam family: Bacterial small subunit ribosomal RNA
Source: RNAcentral
AGGGUUUGAUCAUGGCUCAGAUUGAACGCUGGCGGCAUGCCUUACACAUGCAAGUCGAACGGUAACAGGUCUUCGGAUGCUGACGAGUGGCGAACGGGUGAGUAAUACAUCGGAACGUGCCCGAGAGUGGGGGAUAACGAAGCGAAAGCUUUGCUAAUACCGCAUACGAUCUCAGGAUGAAAGCAGGGGACCGCAAGGCCUUGCGCUCACGGAGCGGCCGAUGGCAGAUUAGGUAGUUGGUGGGAUAAAAGCUUACCAAGCCGACGAUCUGUAGCUGGUCUGAGAGGACGACCAGCCACACUGGGACUGAGACACGGCCCAGACUCCUACGGGAGGCAGCAGUGGGGAAUUUUGGACAAUGGGCGCAAGCCUGAUCCAGCCAUGCCGCGUGCAGGAUGAAGGCCUUCGGGUUGUAAACUGCUUUUGUACGGAACGAAAAGACUCUGGUUAAUACCUGGGGUCCAUGACGGUACCGUAAGAAUAAGCACCGGCUAACUACGUGCCAGCAGCCGCGGUAAUACGUAGGGUGCGAGCGUUAAUCGGAAUUACUGGGCGUAAAGCGUGCGCAGGCGGUUAUAUAAGACAGAUGUGAAAUCCCCGGGCUCAACCU